RNAcentral lists this ribosomal RNA (400 nucleotides) under uncultured bacterium. Its description in RNAcentral is "bacterial SSU rRNA". It matches the Rfam family "Bacterial small subunit ribosomal RNA", at positions 356 to 773 of the family's 1533-position model. The record is from RNAcentral.
GGGGAAUAUUGGACAAUGGGCGAAAGCCUGAUCCAGCAAUGCCGCGUGAGUGAUGAAGGCCUUAGGGUUGUAAAGCUCUUUUACCCGGGAUGAUAAUGACAGUACCGGGAGAAUAAGCUCCGGCUAACUUCGUGCCAGCAGCCGCGGUAAUACGAGGGGAGCUAGCGUUGUUCGGAAUUACUGGGCGUAAAGCGCGCGUAGGCGGUUUUUUAAGUCAGAGGUGAAAGCCCGGGGCUCAACCCCGGAAUAGCCUUUGAAACUGGAAAACUAGAAUCUUGGAGAGGUCAGUGGAAUUCCGAGUGUAGAGGUGAAAUUCGUAGAUAUUCGGAAGAACACCAGUGGCGAAGGCGACUGACUGGACAAGUAUUGACGCUGAGGUGCGAAAGCGUGGGGAGCAAAC